GUGCACGCUGGCGGUAGGCCUCACACCUGCAAGUCGAACGGCAGCACAGUAAGAGCUUGCUCUUACGGGUGGCGAGUGGCGGACGGGUGAGGAAUACAUCGGAAUCUACUUUUUCGUGGGGGAUAACGUAGGGAAACUUACGCUAAUACCGCAUACGACCUACGGGUGAAAGCAGGGGAUCUUCGGACCUUGCGCGAUUGAAUGAGCCGAUGUCGGAUUAGCUAGUUGGCGGGGUAAAGGCCCACCAAGGCGACGAUCCGUAGCUGGUCUGAGAGGAUGAUCAGCCACACUGGAACUGAGACACGGUCCAGACUCCUACGGGAGGCAGCAGUGGGGAAUAUUGGACAAUGGGCGCAAGCCUGAUCCAGCCAUACCGCGUGGGUGAAGAAGGCCUUCGGGUUGUAAAGCCCUUUUGUUGGGAAAGAAAAGCAGCAGGUUAAUACCCCGCUGUUCUGACGGUACCCAAAGAAUAAGCACCGGCUAACUUCGUGC
Molecule: ribosomal RNA, 492 nt
Filed under: uncultured bacterium
Lineage: Bacteria
Description: partial 16S ribosomal RNA
Rfam family: Bacterial small subunit ribosomal RNA
Source: RNAcentral